GAAUCUUAUUUCCAUCCACCUCUUCAGGGGGAGCAUAGGAAGGAAGAAGAGGUGUCUUUUCCUUUCCCUUCUUCUUUGUGCUCUCCCAACUUUCAACUUCAAAGGGAAAAUCUGGGUAUAAACCCUAUACCUAAUAACGAUACUCAGGGGGAAUCACCUAAAUCUCGAGGGAGACUGAAUGGACCAGAUUUGAGAAUCUAUACUCGGCGGAACAAGACAGAUAUAGCCAUCGAGCAGGAGACUGCUGAUCAACCGGAAUCUCUGGAUUCAAUUCCUGAACAUCCUGAGGUAUGUGAUGAGUCUCCUUUGGUUCCUGAAGAGUCUAAUUUUAAUUCUCAGUCUACUCUUCCUUCUUCUAAUAAUGAUCUUGAUAUUCCUAUUGCUCUCAGAAAAGGUGUUAGAACCUGUACUAAACAUCCCAUCUCUAACUUCAUUUCCUAUGAUUCUUUGUCUCCAUCCUAUAGAGCCUUUCUAUUGUCUGUUUCCUCUGUUUCUAUUCCACAGGAUUGGAAGAAAGCAUGCCUUGAUCCAAAAUGGAAGGCAGUCAUGGUGGAGGAGAUGAAAGCUCUAGCAAAGAAUGAGACAUGGGAACUUGUUACUCUUCCACUGGGGAAAAAACCAAUUGGAUGCAAGUGGGUGUUCACUGUGAAACAUAGAGCAGAUGGUUCAAUUGAAAGGUAUAAGGCUAGGCUGGUAGCAAAAGGCUUCACACAGACGUAUGGGGUAGAUUACCAGGAAACGUUUGCUCCUGUUGCUAAAAUGAAUACCAUCAGAAUUUUACUAUCAUGUGCAGUAAAUCUUGAGUGGGAUUUGCAACAGUUUGAUGUAAAAAAUGCCUUUCUACAUGGUGAUUUGGAAGAAGAAGUGUAUAUGGAAAUUCCUCCAGGGUUUGAGGAUGAGAAGACCAAAGAGAAAGUUUGCAGAUUAAAAAAGGCUUUAUAUGGUCUAAAACAGUCACCUAGAGCAUGGUUUGAUAGGUUCAGUAAAGCGAUGAUCUCCUUUGGAUACUGCCAAAGCAAUGCUGAUCAUACCUUGUUUAUGAGGCAUCGUAGAGGCAAAAUCACACUACUUAUUGUCUAUGUGGAUGAUAUUGUGGUAACUGGUGAUGAUAGGGAAGAAAUGAUUCAUCUAAAUGAACAACUAGCAUAGGAGUUUGAAGUCAAAGAUUUGGGAAUGCUAAAAAUACUUUCUUGGAAUAGAGGUUGCCAGAUCAGAUAAAGGAAUCUUUAUUUCUCAAAGGAAGUACAUACUGGAUCUAUUAGAGGAAUCAAGAAUGCUAGGUUGUAAACCAGCAGAGUCUCCCAUUGAGGCAAAUCACAAAUUGCAAGCUGGAGUUGGGGAAUCCGUGGAUAUUGGGAGAUAUCAGAGGUUGGUUGGCAGACUAAUUUAUCUUUCGCACACUAGACCGGACAUAGCAUAUGCAGUUGGUCUAGUGAGCCAGUAUAUGCAUGAUCCUCAUGAAUCUCAUUUGGAGGUUGUUUUCCGCAUCUUGCGAUACCUAAAAUCUACACCUGGGAAAGGAUUUCUUUUCUCCAAGCAUGGUCACCUUUAGAUUAAAGCCUUUACAGAUGCAGAUUGGGCUGAGUCUCUUGAUGAUAGGAGAUCGACAUCUGGUUACUGUACUUUUGUUGGUGGUAAUCUAGUCACUUGGAGAAGCAAGAAGCAAAAUGUGACAGUUAGAUCCAACAGAGGCUGAGUUUAGAGCAAUGGCUCAAGGUAUUUGUGAACUAUUGUGGUUACGAAAGUUGAUGGAGGAAUUAAAAUUGCUGGAAACUAGUGGUUUGUCCCUGUUCUGUGAUAACAAAGCUGCCAUCAGUAUAGUUCACAAUCCAGUUCAGCAUGAUCGGACCAAGCAUAUAGAGAUUGACAGACACUUCAUAAAAGAAAAAAUUGUGGAUAAUUCCUUAAGUAUCUCUUACGUAGGGUCGAAAGACCAGUUAGCUGAUGUGUUCACUAAGGGAUUAAGUUGUAAGGGGUUUCAUACCCUAGUUUGCAAGUUGGGCAUGUGCAACAUACAUGAACCAACUUGAGGGGGAGUGUUAGAAUCCCUCAAUUAGUGUAAAUCCCUUAAUCAGUGUAAAUUAGCUGUAAAUUAGAAUAUAAUUAGGAAUCAUUGUAUUUAUUGGCUAUUAUUAGUUUCCUAGUUAGUCCUAGCCUUUGUAUAUAAAUUAGAAUGCUUGUAAAUCAUUUUAGUAUGAAGAAAUAUAAAAGAAAAAUUUUCAAAUCCUCUGUUUUCUACAUGGUAUCAGAGCUGUGUCAAAAUUUAUUGGCGUGAACAGUAUAGUUCUGGAUAAUUUUUUUUUUGGGUCAAGUUUCUACAUCGUUCAAGGAAGGAGGUGACUGUCACUACCCACUUGAGGAGGAAGGACACCAGCCGAUCGGCCUACGCCCAGAGUCCCGCCGCCGUCCAGUGAAGCUCGUUAGCUCACAUGCCUCCAGAAGUCUAGCGUCGGCGCGUGCACCCU
This 2465-nucleotide unclassified non-coding RNA is filed under the name Hevea brasiliensis (rubber tree). Lineage: Eukaryota; Viridiplantae; Streptophyta; Magnoliopsida; Malpighiales; Euphorbiaceae. The record is from RNAcentral.